GAUUAACGCUAGCGGCAGGCCUAAUACAUGCAAGUCGAGGGGCAGCAGGGGUAGCAAUACUCGCUGGCGACCGGCGCACGGGUGCGUAACACGUAUGUAACCUCUCUUUAACUGGGGAAUAGCUCCGAGAAAUCGGGAUUAAUACCCCAUAACACUGCGAAAUGGCAUCAUUUUGCAAUUAAAGCUCCGGCGGUUAAAGGCGGGCAUGCGUCCCAUUAGCUAGUUGGCGAGGUAACGGCUCACCAAGGCUACGAUGGGUAGGGGUUCUAA
This 270-nucleotide ribosomal RNA is filed under the name uncultured bacterium. RNAcentral's name for it is "partial 16S ribosomal RNA". It matches the Rfam family "Bacterial small subunit ribosomal RNA", at positions 28 to 295 of the family's 1533-position model. The record is from RNAcentral.